RNAcentral lists this long non-coding RNA (278 nucleotides) under Salvia miltiorrhiza (redroot sage). RNAcentral describes it as "long non-coding RNA (SMIL_LNC004112)". The record is from RNAcentral. Lineage: Eukaryota; Viridiplantae; Streptophyta; Magnoliopsida; Lamiales; Lamiaceae.
AACCUGUUCUUACUCCGACACCUCUUGGACUCGAGACUCAUACCAAAAGAAAGGUCUUCGAGUCUAUUUUCAUAUAAAAAAAAGUAGAGUCAAAAACUCGAAGUAUUGUAGGAGAUAUGACUGUUUUACUACAGUCUACCAUAUUCGGCAGUUUUGAGCAAUCGAAAACUUGGAUUUUUGAAAAAUAGUAAAUGUUGUCAAACUGGGCUCACAUUUUGUGGAUAUCUAGCUAACACAAUAAGGUUAAUACCAUAAAAUUUUGGAAAGCUAGAUCACAC